UGGUAAUAAAAUAUUGCCCUCGAUAGAUACGGUAAUCGUUGGCGCUCUCGUCGCAUCGUCCGUUGCUUCGUCCCUCCUCUUCGAUUACACUCUUUCGAUUGGAUCGAAUGGCCUCGGCGCUGGCUUCAGUCGCUCUCUCCGCACCCUUCUUCAGGGCGGUGCCCCUUCCAGAAAACUCCAUGUUCCAGCGCAUUGGAGCUGAGAAGAAACACGGCAAUCCCCUCUUAAAGGGGAAGGUACAAUGUUUCCUUUCCUUUGUUCCCAGUUGGAUCUUAAUUGUUGAUGAGACUUGAUUCUAUGAGUUCGAGCUACAUCUAGCUGUUGUUCUGUACCCAUGUUUAGUGAUUUAGGAGAAGCGAUCAAAAGUUCAUAUAAGAAAAUACCUGCUAAGGAUCUUGUAAUUUUUUAGACGGUAGAAGUGGAAAUUAACAUGCUUGGACUGCGAUCUCCCUAAUGAUGUUCGGGUCAACCACAUGGAGCCUAUCCUGAUCGUUUCUACAGUGAUUUCCUUAAUCAGCAUAAUGAUAUCAUGUCUCUUGUCAUUGUUUCCAACCUGAGACUUUCGACUGGUCUUACCUCAUAUUCAAUUUGAAUUGACUCAAUGACCCUCUGUAAUGUGGUUCAGCCUUUGUUAGAUUUGUAGAAACAACCUUAAUGGGUUAGGCUACCGUCUAGGACAUAUGUGUUGAAGAUGUUAACAUUCAUGUUAUCUCACUCUUUAUUUAGAAACAUUAGUUAACCUUAAAGAUUUUUUUAUUGUUUAAAGACCAAGUUAUACUUAUGUCCUAUCUGACUAGUUUCUAUAUAUGGCAAUUUGAUUAUGCAUAUCAGAUAUUGUUCUCUGCUUGUCAACAUAUCCAACAUCAGUAAGCAAAGAAACAUACAUAUGAAGUCCUUGUGUCUCACCAUCAGCAUCUGCUGGACCCAUAUAUGCUUAGUUCCAUUCGUUUUUGCUUAUGUUCAUGCCUAGUAUCGUUGUCAUCCCCAUUAGAGUAUGUAAGUGAAGUACCUGAAUUUUUACAUGAGUUGAUCAAAUAUGCAAUCACAUAGAAGCUUUUCAGAUUACUGAAAGCAUGCAGCAGAUGCAAGGGGAGCUAAGAGACAUAAAUUAUUGGUAAAAAUAUAUGAACAUAAAUAGGUCAUGAGGACUAGUGAAUUUUAGUUGUGAAAAUAUAUGAACAUAAAAAUAUCUCAAGAGGACUAGUGAAUUUUAGUUGCACUGGUGGAUGCAUAAAACUUACAUGCUUAACUAUCAUUUUAGGUGUUAGAGUUGACAUUAUGCAUCUUAUUUACUGUACAAUUGUCUGACUGCUGUCUGUGUGUGUAGAUUUGUAAAACCAUAAAUCAAAUCAUGUGACCAGGCUUGUAGAUAAGGGAUUGUUAUCGACACUAUCAAUAGAUGUGUUUUCCUUUUAACACCACAUGGGCUAUAAUUACAUUAUUGGUCAUUUCUCUUAAUUUUGUUAUCCAUUUCAACUUGUUUCAGCAAUGAAUGCUCAACCUUUGUAUGGAAAAAACAGAUCAUGUUAGUUCGUACUGUAGGAUUAUCUACUUUGAAAGGUGGCCAUCAAACUGAUACAUUUUUCUUUUCUUGACACCGGUAUGUUGAAAGCAGAUAACCUUAGAUAUUAGCAUAUUCAGUAAACUGGACUAGAUAAACCAAGCAUGUAGCUGUUUAAUAUCUUCUGAUGUUGUUUAUCUGAACCGGAGGAUUGCAUUGACAAACAAAGUUCAGAUAUAUAAUUAAGUCUUGGCAGCAAUUGAAGUCCACAUAUGACAAAAUAAAAUAAACUUAAGCAUACAAGCAGAUAAAUGCUUCAUUCUAUUUGUAUGUCUUUGUCUUUUCAUCACCAAAAGAUGUCCAAUAAGGUCAAAUUGUUUGCUAUUUUAUGCUUUACUUAUAGUAUUUUUAUAAUGAUCCAUUCUGAUGGGGUAUAUGAUCCAAUAAUUUUAUUGAGCUUGAAUCAAUAGCCUAAGAUGCUUAAAUCCAAAUUUAUGGUAAUGGAUUUACAUUCAAUUCUUCUUCCCCUUCUGAUGUGAGAAUAGAUCAGGAUAUUAUAAUCUCCCUCACUCAAGAUGUACGUGAGACCUAACAUAGCCAUAUUGUGAUGUGCCCUCCAGCCCUAUUUAUUAAUUGUCCUUUCCUAUUUGAGUCCCACCAUAUCCAACACUAGAUUGGUUUUGAUACCAUUAUAUGAUAAUUCAUACAUUAAUUUAUUAAGUUUAAAUCAUUAAUUCAAAAUACUUAAGUUCGUGUUUAUGGUAAUAGAACCAUCUAGCCCUUAUAAGUCCAUUUAAGUCUUCUCCUAGUUCAGAUGUGGGAUUAAAUUGAGAUAUUAUAAUCUCUCUCACCUAAG
Musa acuminata subsp. malaccensis (wild Malaysian banana) is the source of this 2357-nucleotide non-coding RNA. NCBI's taxonomy places the organism in Eukaryota, Viridiplantae, Streptophyta, Magnoliopsida, Zingiberales, Musaceae. The record is from RefSeq and is a predicted model, not a curated record.